UGGACUACCAUGGCUUUCACGGGUAACGGAGAAUUAGGGUUCGAUUCCGGAGAAGGAGCCUGAGAAACGGCUACUACAUCUAAGGAAGGCAGCAGGCGCGUAAAUUACCCAAUCCUGACUCAGGGAGGUAGUGACAAGAUAUAACAACGCGAUUAAAAUCGUGAUUGUAGUGAGGGUAUUCUAAAUUGAACUUCGAGUACGAUUAGAGGGCAAGUCUGGUGCCAGCAGCCGCGGUAAUUCCAGCUCUAAUAGCGUAUAUUAAAGUUGUUGCAGUUAAAAAGCUCGUAGUUGGAUUUCAAGGAUUCAAAUACUCCGGUAUUAUGGAUUCUAUCAGUCUUCGGACUGUUACUGUGAGAAAAUUAGAGUGUUUCAAGCAGGCUUAUGCAGGAAUACAUUAGCAUGGAAUAACGAGUGUGUCUAGAGUCUUGGUUAAUUCUAGAUUACGAUUAAUAGGGACAGUUGGGGGCAUUAGUAUUUAAAUGUCAGAGGUGAAAUUCUUGGAUUAUUUAAAGACUAACGUAUGCGAAAGCAUUUGCCAAGGAUGUUUUCAUUAAUCAAGAACGAAAGAUAGGGGAUCAAAGACGAUCAGAUACCGUC
This 597-nucleotide ribosomal RNA is filed under the name uncultured ciliate. RNAcentral describes it as "SSU rRNA". It matches the Rfam family "Eukaryotic small subunit ribosomal RNA", at positions 337 to 1019 of the family's 1831-position model. Lineage: Eukaryota; Ciliophora. The record is from RNAcentral.